This 460-nucleotide ribosomal RNA is filed under the name uncultured bacterium. RNAcentral describes it as "partial 16S ribosomal RNA". It matches the Rfam family "Bacterial small subunit ribosomal RNA", at positions 338 to 795 of the family's 1533-position model. The record is from RNAcentral.
CCUACGGGCGGCUGCAGUGAGGAAUAUUGGUCAAUGGACGAGAGUCUGAACCAGCCAAGUAGCGUGAAGGAUGACUGCCCUAUGGGUUGUAAACUUCUUUUAUAAAGGAAUAAAACGAGGCACGUGUGCCUUUUUGCAUGUACUUUAUGAAUAAGGAUCGGCUAACUCCGUGCCAGCAGCCGCGGUAAUACGGAGGAUCCGAGCGUUAUCCGGAUUUAUUGGGUUUAAAGGGAGCGUAGAUGGGUUGUUAAGUCAGUUGUGAAAGUUUGCGGCUCAACCGUAAAAUUGCAAUUGAUACUGGCAGUCGUGAGUACAGUUGAGGUAAGCGGAAUUCGUGGUGUAGCGGUGAAAUGCUUAGAUAUCACGAAGAACCCCGAUUGCGAAGGCAGCUUACUAAACUGUGACUGACAUUGAUGCUCGAAAGUGUGGGUAUCAAACAGGAUUAGAUACCCUUGUAGUC